RNAcentral lists this transfer RNA (74 nucleotides) under Candidatus Woesearchaeota archaeon. RNAcentral describes it as "tRNA-Ile". It matches the Rfam family "tRNA". Rfam says of the family: Transfer RNA (tRNA) molecules are approximately 80 nucleotides in length. Lineage: Archaea; Nanobdellati; Candidatus Woesearchaeota. The record is from RNAcentral.
GAGCCUGUAGCUUAGUCCGGUGGAGCGCCAGUCUUAUAAGCUGGUGGUCCGGGGUUCAAAUCCCCGCAGGCUCA